UACGGAGGGUGCAAGCGUUAUCCGGAAUCACUGGGUUUAAAGGGUGCUUAGGCGGCUAGAUAAGUCAGAGGUGAAAGUUUGUCGCUUAACGAUAGAACUGCCUUUGAUACUGUUAAGCUUGAAAGUAGGUGAGGUUGGCGGAAUGUGACAUGUAGCGGUGAAAUGCAUAGAUAUGUCAUAGAACACUGAUUGCGAAGGCAGCCGGCGAACCUGACUUUGACGCUGAGGCACGAAAGCGUGGGUAGCGAACAGG
RNAcentral lists this ribosomal RNA (253 nucleotides) under uncultured bacterium. RNAcentral describes it as "partial 16S ribosomal RNA". It matches the Rfam family "Bacterial small subunit ribosomal RNA", at positions 524 to 776 of the family's 1533-position model. The record is from RNAcentral.